This 119-nucleotide ribosomal RNA is filed under the name Populus trichocarpa (black cottonwood). The record is from RNAcentral. Lineage: Eukaryota; Viridiplantae; Streptophyta; Magnoliopsida; Malpighiales; Salicaceae.
GGGUGCGAUCAUACCAGCACUAAUGCACGGGAUACCAUCAGAACUCCACAGUGAAACGUGCUUGGGCGAGAGUAGUAUGAGGAUGGGUGACCUCCUGGGAAGUCCUCGUGUUGCACCUC